This 301-nucleotide ribosomal RNA is filed under the name uncultured bacterium. RNAcentral's name for it is "partial 16S ribosomal RNA". It matches the Rfam family "Bacterial small subunit ribosomal RNA", at positions 509 to 807 of the family's 1533-position model. The record is from RNAcentral.
CAGUCGCCGCGGUAAUACGUAGGGUGCAAGCGUUAAUCGGAAUUACUGGGCGUAAAGCGUGCGUAGGCGGCUUUUUAAGUCGGAUGUGAAAUCCCUGAGCUUAACUUAGGAAUUGCAUUCGAUACUGGGAAGCUAGAGUAUGGGAGAGGAUGGUAGAAUUCCAGGUGUAGCGGUGAAAUGCGUAGAGAUCUGGAGGAAUACCGAUGGCGAAGGCAGCCAUCUGGCCUAAUACUGACGCUGAGGUACGAAAGCAUGGGGAGCAAACAGGAUUAGAUACCCCCGUAGUCCCUGUCUCUUAUAC